RNAcentral lists this ribosomal RNA (207 nucleotides) under uncultured bacterium. RNAcentral describes it as "partial 16S ribosomal RNA". It matches the Rfam family "Bacterial small subunit ribosomal RNA", at positions 568 to 774 of the family's 1533-position model. The record is from RNAcentral.
CGUGUAGGCGGCCAAACGGGUCCGGUGUGAAAUCCCUCGGCUUAACCGAGGAAGUGCGCCGGAAACUAUUUGGCUAGAGUGCAGGAGAGGAGGACGGAAUUCCCAGUGUAGAGGUGAAAUUCGUAGAUAUUGGGAGGAACACCGGCGGCGAAAGCGGUUCUCUGGACUGUAACUGACGCUGAGACGCGAAAGCGUGGGGAUCAAACA